Molecule: long non-coding RNA, 1233 nt
Filed under: Nicotiana benthamiana
Lineage: Eukaryota; Viridiplantae; Streptophyta; Magnoliopsida; Solanales; Solanaceae
Description: long non-coding RNA (NBEN_LNC003586)
Source: RNAcentral
CCAAGCCUAAACUCCUACUACUCGCACUCCGGAGCAGGUAGCUCCCCAGAUUUAGACUCCACUGGUUCAACUAGUUGGAGCAGUUCAGCCGGGUAUAGUGGCUAAGAUGGACGAUAGAGAGGCUAUGUUCGUCGAUGCUUUGUGGAGAUUGGACAGAUUCACCAAGCUCUUUACUACUACUUACAUCGGUGCUUCUUUUGAGGAUCCCCCCAGAUUUCUUAUAUAGCUACCUAGAGGUUCUCAGGAACAUGAGCAUUGUUGAGGCAAAUGGGGCUUAUUUUGCUACAUUUCACCUGUCUGGAUCUGCCAAGACUUGAUGUCGACCACCGCCUUUUCCAUCCAAAUUGGGUUUCGAAAAUCAGGUAUACAAAAUUAUGGGAGGAAAACUUUUAUUCCCUUGCAAGAAUUAGGUUUCAGAAUUUGGAGAGUCUCCACCUAAUGAUUAUAGUGCAUUAGGACACUUUUAAAGAAAAUAAAAAAAGACGAAGAAUUAGAGUUUGGGUAAGGGCGUGAGAUUAUCUCAAGGGGAAGGUGUUGAGCACCCCUCAAGAUCCACUAGUGUGGUUCCCGGCUAUACUACAAUUGUGACUUUAAAAGUUAGAAGAAACAAAUAAGGUUUUCACAUAAUUAUUGUAAACAAGUUAAAAGUUUUUAAAAGAGAAAAGAAACGGAAAGUUUUAGAAAGUUAGUUAACAGAAACAAAAUUAAAAGAAAUAUUAUAAGUAAAGGGAAAGAGGGCCUAGGUUUAUACAUAAUAUGGAUCACAUCAAUGCAAUACCCGCGCGUACACUUCUCAAAAGAGUGUCCGCACGUGAUGUUAGCGCUCCAGUCAUCAUAUCCAUAUUCUAUCCUUCCCACCACAUUAAGGUAUUAAAGCGCAAAUAAUCCCGUUUUCUUUUGCAUGCUAUUACCCGCACCGAUCCUAUCAAUUCCGAGGUAUUAUGACUUCUAAUCCUAAAUGGGAGAAAGGGAUGGGGGCCUUUAUGGAGUUUAAAGGAACAAAAAGAUACUACUUUGACAUUGAAAACAUGUAUCAAAUAAAGGGAGGAAAAAGAAAGAAAAUAAAGCUCCGAUAAACCCCUUAAAUCAGAUAAGUCAUGUAGUUUAGCAUGUCUAUGCAAGUACUGGUUUGGACUUAAAUUAGAUUAAGCAGUGAGCGGGCUUGUUCAACACAUAUAUUUAGACAGAAAGUCUGCAAUACACAUACUCGGAUGCAGUUGUCAGAGAUUAAUG